AGGAAUGUAUAGCAAUAGCUAGUUGCAUCAUUGUAAAGAUGAUGCAAUAUUGACUAUGUUGAAUAAAAUUCUAGGUAGAAUUAUGAUAAUGACAUUGUCUGCCUAUGUGUCUUGACCAAAUUACGUGCCAGCAGUCGCGGUAAUACGUAGAAGACUAGUGUUAUUCAUGUUUAAUCGGUUUAAAGGGUACCUAGACGGCAGAUCAAGCUUUCCGAGCAGAAAAAAAAGUAAAAGGACUAAUUUGCUAGAGUUACUUACGAGGGGGUUUUAAAGUACUGCUGGUGUAGAGAUGAAAUUCUUUAAUACCUAUUUUCGAAAGAAUUAUAAUGGCACAGGUAUAGGCGAAGGCAUCCCCUUAUGUGAUAACUGACGUUGAGGGACGAAGGCUUUAUACAACGAACGGGAUUAGAUACCCCAUUAGUGGAAGCAGUAAAUGAUGAAUGUCAUAGAUUAGCUAGAUAGGUUCAUUCUAUAAAUGAAAGUGUAAGCAUUCCACCUCAUGAGUAAUAUGGCAACAUUGGAAUUGAAAUCAUUAGACCGUAUCUGAAACCAGUAGUGAAGUAUGUUGUUUAAUUUGAUGAUCCGCAAAAAACCUUACCACAAUUUGAAUAUUUAUAUUUUUUUUUAUUGUUUUGUCAUUAAUUUUCUUCUCUUUACAGAAAUAACAUAACAUUCAAGUAAAGUGGAAAAAAAUUAAUAAAGAGGCAAUAAGAUAUAUUUACAAGCGUUGCACGGCUGUCUUCAGUUAAUGUCGCGAGAUUUUGGUUAGAUCCAUAAAAUUAACGUAAACCCUUACUUUAUUUUUAGAUAGAGUUGUUCCCCACUAUAUUGGAUAUGAU
This 839-nucleotide ribosomal RNA is filed under the name Hypotrachyna polydactyla. Its description in RNAcentral is "SSU rRNA". It matches the Rfam family "Bacterial small subunit ribosomal RNA", at positions 357 to 1146 of the family's 1533-position model. Lineage: Eukaryota; Fungi; Ascomycota; Lecanoromycetes; Lecanorales; Parmeliaceae. The record is from RNAcentral.